Molecule: ribosomal RNA, 495 nt
Filed under: uncultured bacterium
Lineage: Bacteria
Description: partial 16S ribosomal RNA
Rfam family: Bacterial small subunit ribosomal RNA
Source: RNAcentral
GACGAACGCUGGCGGCGUGCCUAAUACAUGCAAGUAGAACGCUGAAGGAGGAGCUUGCUUCUCUGGAUGAGUUGCGAACGGGUGAGUAACGCGUAGGUAACCUGCCUGGUAGCGGGGGAUAACUAUUGGAAACGAUAGCUAAUACCGCAUAAGAGUAGAUGUUGCAUGACAUUUGCUUAAAAGGUGCAAUUGCAUCACUACCAGAUGGACCUGCGUUGUAUUAGCUAGUUGGUGAGGUAACGGCUCACCAAGGCGACGAUACAUAGCCGACCUGAGAGGGUGAUCGGCCACACUGGGACUGAGACACGGCCCAGACUCCUACGGGAGGCAGCAGUAGGGAAUCUUCGGCAAUGGACGGAAGUCUGACCGAGCAACGCCGCGUGAGUGAAGAAGGUUUUCGGAUCGUAAAGCUCUGUUGUAAGAGAAGAACGAGUGUGGGAGUGGAAAGUUCACACUGUGACGGUAUCUUACCAGAAAGGGACGGCUAACUACGUG